AGGAGCAACCAUAUCAGUACUGAUGCACGGGAUUCCAUCAGAACUUCGAAGUUAAGCGUGUUUGGACGAGAAUGGUUUAAGACAAGCUUUGUCACAUGGCUUUCA
Molecule: non-coding RNA, 105 nt
Organism: Cephalotus follicularis
Lineage: Eukaryota; Viridiplantae; Streptophyta; Magnoliopsida; Oxalidales; Cephalotaceae
Source: Rfam